CGGCCAGACUCCUACGGGAGGCAGCAGUGGGGAAUAUUGCACAAUGGGGGGAACCCUGAUGCAGCGACGCCGCGUGGGUGAGGAAGUACUUCGGUAUGUAAAGCCCUAUCAGCAGGGAAGAAAAUGACGGUACCUGACUAAGAAGCCCCGGCUAACUACGUGCCAGCAGCCGCGGUAAUACGUAGGUGGCAAGCGUUGUCCGGAUUUACUGGGUGUAAAGGGAGCGCAGACGGCAGGGCAAGUCUGAUGUGAAAGUCCGGGGCUCAACCCCGGGACUGCAUUGGAAACUGUCCGGCUAGAGUGCAGGAGAGGUAAGUGGAAUUCCUAGUGUAGCGGUGAAAUGCGUAGAUAUUAGGAGGAACACCAGUGGCGAAGGCGGCUUACUGGACUGUAACUGACGUUGAGUCUCGAAAGCGUGGGGAGCAAACGGGAUUAGAUACCCUAGUA
Molecule: ribosomal RNA, 447 nt
Filed under: uncultured bacterium
Lineage: Bacteria
Description: bacterial SSU rRNA
Rfam family: Bacterial small subunit ribosomal RNA
Source: RNAcentral